GCUGCUCCCAUGACACGAACUCCUGGAGAAGCGUUAAGGCUAGCCUCCUGCCUAAAGACUAUGCGCUUAGCCCCAGAGACUCUUCUCACAUGAACUAAACUAAUUUCCCCGCCUGAUUACCUUGGACAGAUACAUGGCUCACUAACCCUCCACCCCUUCCUAAAUUAGUGGUUUUCACUGUACUUUCCCCUAGCAGCCGUGCCUCCAUUGUAGCACUCUUCCAAACGGCCCUCAGGAUCACUGUAGACCCGUGUGGAGGCUUCAGGGGCACAGCGCACCUGACAGGGAACAACCUCCAAAGGCCCUUGAACUCUGG
Molecule: non-coding RNA, 316 nt
Organism: Pelobates cultripes (western spadefoot toad)
Lineage: Eukaryota; Metazoa; Chordata; Amphibia; Anura; Pelobatidae
Source: the annotation of a GenBank genome assembly